This 492-nucleotide ribosomal RNA is filed under the name uncultured bacterium. Its description in RNAcentral is "partial 16S ribosomal RNA". It matches the Rfam family "Bacterial small subunit ribosomal RNA", at positions 29 to 507 of the family's 1533-position model. The record is from RNAcentral.
AGUGUACGCUGGCGGUAGGCCUAACACAUGCAAGUCGAACGGCAGCACAGUAAGAGCUUGCUCUUACGGGUGGCGAGUGGCGGACGGGUGAGGAAUACAUCGGAAUCUACUUUUUCGUGGGGGGUAACGUAGGGAAACUUACGCUAAUACCGCAUACGACCUACGGGUGAAAGCAGGGGAUCUUCGGACCUUGCGCGAUUGAAUGAGCCGAUGUCGGAUUAGCUAGUUGGCGGGGUAAAGGCCCACCAAGGCGACGAUCCGUAGCAGGUCUGAGAGGAUGAUCAGCCACACUGGAACUGAGACACGGUCCAGACUCCUACGGGAGGCAGCAGUGGGGAAUAUUGGACAAUGGGCGCAAGCCUGAUCCAGCCAUACCGCGUGGGUGAAGAAGGCCUUCGGGUUGUAAAGCCCUUUUGUUGGGAAAGAAAAGCAGCAGGUUAAUACCCCGCUGUUCUGACGGUACCCAAAGAAUAAGCACCGGCUAACUUCGUG